This 1580-nucleotide long non-coding RNA is filed under the name Homarus americanus (American lobster). Its description in RNAcentral is "uncharacterized LOC121855338". The record is from RNAcentral. Lineage: Eukaryota; Metazoa; Arthropoda; Malacostraca; Decapoda; Nephropidae.
ACAAAAGGAUUUAGUUUUAUUUUAGAUCUUUGUCAAAUAACCGGCGGUUAUUGUGCCGAGUACUGGUCAAAUAAUCCCUGCCUAUAAUAUAAUAGUUUUACAGUGUUGUGUAUUAUAUAGGUAUCUGUUACAUUUCCAGGAAGCUUUAAGGACCAACAACACAUCUCGGUACGACAAGUGGAGACUCGACCGUACAGACCCGUCCGGUCUCGCACACGACGCCGUUAACGGCAAACGGAGAAACGCCGCCGCCGCCGACCCGCGGGAGGUACUUUCUCCAUCACUGCCUAAAGUGGACCUGAUGUGAACUAGAAUGAAGUUGGCUGGACCUGCAGUGAAGUGGACCUGAAGCUAACUGGACCUCAAGUAGUCUGUGGAAGCUUCAAGGACCAACAACACAUCUCGGUACGACAAGUCGAGACUCGACCGUACAGACCCGUCCGGUCUCGCACACGACGCCGUUAACGGCAAACGGAGAAACGCCGCUGGGAGGCACUUUCUCCAACACUGCCUACAGUGGACCUGAUGUGAACUAGAAUGAAGUUGGCUGGACAUAAAGUUUACUGGACCUCAAAUAGUCUGUGUCACCCGACGGGAGUCAGAAACGUCAUUUUUGUGCGGACCGGCGACUCGACGGACCCCGGCCGAGGACGCCGCUCGAACCGCGGUUGCGGAGGAGCGCGCCGAUACGAGUCGGAGACGGCUCGUACAGUCGGCGCACGAGAGCGGUCCGGACGAAGACAUUCGGGAACCGAGGACGAAGACGGUCGUCCACUGCGGACGAAGACACCGGUCGACGCGCGAGGAAGAUGCUCCGGAACACGGGAAGAACGCCACACUCCCGAGUGCGGGAAGACACUCGUCAACGCAGAAGGAGACACGCAUCAAUGUCGGGCCGGCGUGAUUGUUUUAAAGACGAUUUAACGUGUAAAAUGAAUGUACGUGUUGUUUGUAACGAUUGUUAUAAUGUUUGUAGUAUGGUAUUGUUUUUAGAGACCGACUCUGCGAAGGCGGAGGAAGUCGAUACAUGUCGAGAAUGAAUUUAUUGAAGAUGUUGCCUGUGAUCACUAGGUGUUUGCACUAAUUUGGGGAGAUGAUUACGAUCGUAGAACGUCACGGAAUGCGGCGCGCAUCCGUAAAUAACGGCAGCAUAAAUACGAGAGAACGCGGUGGCGGCGGCGGGGAAGUGCGCCUUUUGAAAGUAAAAGAACGGGGGAGAUCGGACCGACAUAGAUGGUGUUGUUGUGGUAACCGAUAAGAAUGGAGAAAUGAUGACUAUUUGGUGGGUUUUUUAGGACAGAGAGAGUAGUUAUAUAUUAGUGAAGAUAUAAAGUAAAAGGUGAUAAGGAUGGUGGUGGGGGGGACAACGAAUGAUAUAUUUUGUAGGGUAUUAAAGGAAUUGACUCGUCAGUGCCGAGUCGGCGUAAUUGUGAGAAACGGAUGCGACGGGGAUUUUAAAGAAGUUGCGGGGAAAUUGGCGGAAGCGACGAUCGCAAUAACCUUUCGACGUGGGACGGACGACGACGAAUUUAGUAAAUGGCGGUUUAGGAAAGGGUCGUACGUAAAGCGGCGGGUGCGGA